RNAcentral lists this ribosomal RNA (270 nucleotides) under uncultured archaeon. RNAcentral's name for it is "partial 16S ribosomal RNA". It matches the Rfam family "Archaeal small subunit ribosomal RNA", at positions 477 to 747 of the family's 1478-position model. The record is from RNAcentral.
CUGCAGCUCAAGUGGUGACCGCUAUUAUUGGGCCUAAAACGUUCGUAGCCGGCUGAGUAAAUGCUUGGGUAAAUCGUGCCGCUUAACGGUACGAAUUCCGGGUAGACUACUCAGCUUGAGACCGGGAGAAGCUAGAGGUACUCCUGGGGUAGAGGUGAAAUUCUGUAAUCCUGGGGGGACCACCAGUGGCGAAGGCGUCUAGCUAGAACGGGUCUGACGGUGAGGGACGAAACCCUGGGGCGCGAACCGGAUUAGAUACCCGCGUAGUCC